AUCCCACAAGUAGAAAGACGGAAAUCGAAACGAAGCUAUUAUCAUUAAACAUAAAUGGUCUAAACUCACCCAUUAAAAGGAAACAGAUACUAUCUAGAUUAGCAGUCAUGACCUCCAAGUUGGGUGGCAUGCCUU
Non-coding RNA from Pseudonaja textilis, 135 nucleotides. Lineage: Eukaryota; Metazoa; Chordata; Lepidosauria; Squamata; Elapidae. The record is from RefSeq and is a predicted model, not a curated record.